UCGGACCCUGCGAAUGGUUUUGGCUAU
Molecule: non-coding RNA, 27 nt
Filed under: Homo sapiens (human)
Lineage: Eukaryota; Metazoa; Chordata; Mammalia; Primates; Hominidae
Source: RNAcentral